Molecule: unclassified non-coding RNA, 380 nt
Filed under: uncultured Rickettsiales bacterium
Lineage: Bacteria; Pseudomonadati; Pseudomonadota; Alphaproteobacteria; Rickettsiales
Description: contains 16S-23S intergenic spacer region
Source: RNAcentral
UCCGGCUUAUCACCGGCAGUUUCUUCAGAGUGCUCAGCUUAACCUGUUAGCAACAGAAGACGAGGGUUGCGCUCGUUGCGGGACUUAACCCAACAUCUCACGACACGAGCUGACGACAGCCAUGCAGCACCUGUGUUCCCCCCACCCGAAGUGAAGGACUCCUUUUCGGGAGUCCAAAAGGGACAUGUCGAAUCCUGGUAAGGUUCUUCGCGUUGCCUCGAAUUAAACCACAUGUUCCACCGCUUGUGCGGGUCCCCGUCAAUUUCUUUGAGUUUUAAUCUUGCGACCGUACUCCCCAGGCGGGGUGCUUAACGCGUUAGCUGCGCCACUGAAGGGUAUCCCCCCAACGGCUAGCACCCAUCGUUUACAGCGUGGACUAC